AUCCAUCUGACGAGUCUCAAACAGGACGAAAUGCGCAUCCUAGAU
This 45-nucleotide non-coding RNA is filed under the name Trichobilharzia regenti. The record is from RNAcentral. Lineage: Eukaryota; Metazoa; Platyhelminthes; Trematoda; Strigeidida; Schistosomatidae.